ACGGGGUAGACCUCCGAGAUACCCUGGGAGUGCUAGUGGCAGUCACUACAAAGCCAAAGGUUCAAGCCCCGACAAGAACGUAUGCGAUACGUACUCGAGAGGAAUCCUCUGCUCCUGAUGUUAUUACAGGUACUUUUUCUCUUUUUAAUACAAGUUUAUUGCUUUAAUUGACCCGGGGUCGACGCAUUCAUAUAUUUGCAUGAGAUUGAUGUAUAGUAUGAACAUACCCGUUGA
RNAcentral lists this long non-coding RNA (234 nucleotides) under Gossypium barbadense (sea-island cotton). Its description in RNAcentral is "long non-coding RNA (GBAR_LNC008968)". Lineage: Eukaryota; Viridiplantae; Streptophyta; Magnoliopsida; Malvales; Malvaceae. The record is from RNAcentral.